Non-coding RNA from Paramuricea clavata, 398 nucleotides. The record is from the annotation of a GenBank genome assembly. NCBI's taxonomy places the organism in Eukaryota, Metazoa, Cnidaria, Anthozoa, Malacalcyonacea, Plexauridae.
CUUUACGAUAUAAAUAUUACCUAUGCUUUAAAUCGUCAGUAAUAAAUCUAAUAUUGUUCGUUCUGAUAGCCAAAUUAUUGCUUUUGAAGCGGUAAAGAUUUGAGAUUCCUGUUGUUCCGUGAUCAUCUUACAACAUUGGAAUGUUAAUUUUGUAUAUUUAUGUGUGUAUCCGCUAAACUUCCAACGCGGGCUCAUAAUGAUGGCGGCGAUACUAAAGUGAUCGCGUGGAAGAAAACACGUUUGCUUCGCCGACCGCGGUUUUUAGUCAAUUUAGUACAUUAACAACGCUUUUGUUUAGUGGAAACCUUGCAGUUUACGAAACGAAUCAGCCCCUGCUCCGAGCUGGCUUCGUUUCAAAAUAAUGUACACUUAUUGACACCAGAGCAUAGUGUCAGUUG